This is a long non-coding RNA of Parus major (Great Tit), 5340 nucleotides long. RefSeq lists it as uncharacterized. Lineage: Eukaryota; Metazoa; Chordata; Aves; Passeriformes; Paridae. The record is from RefSeq and is a predicted model, not a curated record. The transcript has 5 exons.
CAGAUCUUGGCCAAAAAAUAACAGCUUCAAGAGUCAAGAACUUGUCAAGAAGCAGCUUUACUGACCAUGCCUUCAAAAGUAAGAAAGAGUUCAGUCAUAGUGAGCUGCCCAAUUCCACUGCUCAAAUGUAUCCACACUAAUUCUGCAUGUGUUCUGUGACUUUGGUUAUCUCUGCUCUGAGCUGCAAAUUGCUGUUUUUCAGGAAAACUGCUGUUUCGGAUGCAGUCUUACUGAACCUUUGCCCAGUGCUGAAACCAAACUGAAUCUGAGCCUUUUCCAGGAAGACUGGGAGGAGAUGUGAAAACUGUUUAGAACUAAGAUUAAAAAAAUAAAUGUGAUGUCUCAGCCCUGCUGCUUUCACUUGGGAUCCGAACUCAGGUCAGAUGGGCCAUCCUUACCACAAUUCCUGAGAGGACACAGCCAGGAAAAGUUCAUUCUUCUUAGGCUGUCAGAGGUGACACAGGCAUUUUACAAGUGACCCUGAUGCCAGAUUUGUAGAUCUCAUUUCCUUUAGACACAGAUUUGGAAGAAACACCGAGUAUGGUAAGAAGAAAGGAGAACUCUGGCCAGUAACUUCUUGCCCUGUAGGAGAAGCCGGAACCCUGGCUGCCAGAGGAGGGAUGGCGUUUCUUGCAAGAAGGAUUGUUUGAUCCGCUAAAAUCCCAAUAACAGAAACAUCUUUUUUACUUGCAUGAGAGUUAGAAGGUAUGUGAAGACUCACAAGUAACUCAUGCAUCAGGAAACAGAUUCAACUAGCAGAUGAAUGAAAGAGGUGGUAAAAACUUUCACUGUUCCAAGGCACAGCAUGGUCUCUAAGUACAAAUUCAUUUUGCACAUACCAUCUUGUGAAGUUGCAACAUUAGUACAUUUUUUCCUGCUUACUGGUUUAGUUGAUAUUUCAGCUUUGAUUUGUAAGGGUUAAAUUAAACUAAACUGUGUUCUUUUUAUAUAAGAUAUCAAAAGCAAGAUCUUUGCUAAGAACAGAAAAUAUUCACAAUUCUUUAUGACUAAUACAUGAAUUGUGAUCAAGAAAGAGCCCUUCUAACCUAUCUUGUAAACUUUUUUUAAUUUUCAUUUACACUGCCUGUAUGAUUGUAGGAUUGAAGGGAGACACUAUGGCAGGAUUUGACCUAUGAAAUAAAGUUUAUUUACAGUGAAAUAUAAUAUUUUCUAAAUUCCAUGGUGCAUCUACAUUGUUGAAUUUUUCUGUACCUUCUCAGCCUCUAAUGCUGCUUAUCCCAAUAUAUAGUCAUGGUUGCUGUGACAAAAGGAAGAUGCCUCCAGCUGCCACAGAGACACAUGGACUCUCUCAAGGGACAAAAAAAUAGUGAAAGAAGGAGGAAAAGGAAUGGGAGGUGAAUUUUCUGUUGGUGUCAUUCCAUUACCAUUAAUGCAACAGGGUAAGCCCACAGGUGUUUGUUGGAUGUUUCAUAGAGGGAAGGAUGAAAGCUCUCUUUCUGCUCUGCUUUUAGAAACAUUUUUCAAAUCUCCCUAAUCUCUUAAUCUAUUUAGUGCUUUUUCUUAAUUUCUGAGGAAAUAGACACAGAGCCCCUCUGAACAAGGUUCUUCAAUUAGAGGUUGAAGAAACUUUUCUGCCCAUGGAUUGAUGAGUCAGUUACAGAUAGCAGGAGCGAUUUAUAAAACAUUCUGGCUAAUAUCUAAACCUAACUAAUGAACCUAAAGAUACCAUUAAAAUGUUUAAGUGUUGCAGUUGUCUCUCCACUCCCUACUUGUUAUCUUUUUAAUGCCUUCCUAUAUUUCAAUUAAAUUAGUGAAUUACAAGAAAGUGUCAUUCAUCUGUUAAUUGUCAAUGCAGGAUGACACCUUUUUACUAGUUUAUAUGCCUCAGUGUGAGUCACACUUGAAUCUGUUUAGUGUCUCAGUAAAGAUCGUGCUUAUCCGCAAUUUUAGUUGUUAACACAGACCACUAAAUAUGUUUUUAGUGUUUUCAGCAGUUUUCACAGUCUGUUUAAGAAGAGUUUCCUGCUUCAGAAAGGAGAUUUAUGCCUCUAAAGAAACAGAACACAACCCAUCCUGAUCCCAUCCUGAUCCCUUCCUAUCUUCUCCCCUGCCCAUUUCUGCAAAGAGGAAUCUGCAGGCAUCCAGAAGAAUGUCUCUACAUUUCUGUAUGGAUUCCCUUUCUGCCUGCUUCUGUAGAUUAUAGAAAGCAAAUAAUUGGAAUUCAGGAUAAGUUGACUUCAACCAUAUUACCUCCUACCUCUAACUGAUUUCAGUAUCUUGGACUAAGUCCUUAGCGCAAGUGAGCUAAUUACUAAUGCAUGCAAGAAGAAAAACUUAACACUCCUAGCUUUUAUUUUUUGCUUUGCAAUUAAGGUAGCUUUGUACUUCCCCCUCAAGUCAAAGUUCCUUUUUUUGACUGCAAAUUAUCAAAAGGAGGAACAAUAUUACUAGAUCUAUAUUUAACUACAAAAGGGGUAUGAUAUCAGCAAAUCACUGGAAACAUUCAGAUUUGGAAGACUUUGCACAAAAGUGGAUUAAACCAAGUGAAAAUCAGCUCUAGUGCCAAAGACUUCUCUCUUGACCUAUGACUAUGAAGGUAACAACACUGCCAAAAUGUUCAGGUAACUAGGUAUCAGGGUAUACUGUGGAUUUGAGAGUAAACCUCAGCUGGAGCUGGUUUAUAUAAAAUACUCUAAAGAAGCUUAAUAUAGAAAAAAAAAUAAAUUAUACUUUUCAGUGGCUUUUCAUUGUAGGGAAAUUGAUUUUGCAUCUAAAUGAAGGUUGCUCAAGUUUACACAAGUUCUUGGUGACUUUUCAUGUUAAUCAGUUGCCAUGCCAAUGCAAAUUCUUGGUAAAUUCAGCUCUUAGAAGCAGUUCUGUCUGCCCCAUGCUGUUGAGUAAGUUAAUUUUCCACACUUCCAAAAGAGUGUUCUUAACUUUAUAUCUGAUUUUAAUACAUACUCUUAGUGUAUAUAUGACCUCUUUAAAAAGUCACUGUAAUUGUGUAAACUUCUUUUGUCUUCAAUUUUUGUUUGUAGGUAUCUGUAGACAUUUUACUUCCUUCAGCUGAAUCAAUUACUGAUCCCUGGUUUGGAACUUAUGCUAUCCAAUAAGGGCUUGUAAUUUUAUCAGUAAUGGGCAAAAAGGAAUGAAAAAAGGGUUAUGUUUCUCAUUUUUUAUAUAUUAGGGCCUAGAAGCACAAGUUGCAUGAAUAUUGCUCAUGUCUGUAGAUCUAUACAUAUGGUACUAUUCAAAUUCUAUUAAUGAUGAAGACUCUUUCAAAUUUUAUUGAUUUUCUAAAUGAGUUCUCCUCUGUCUUUACAUGGUGAUGAAAUCUCUAUAAGAACCAGACCAAGCUUCCUCUCUUUCCCAGAUCUAAUUCACUUCAGAAGAGAUAACCAGUAUGGCUUUCUUCUAGAAGGAUAAGCUCUUCCCUCAAGAGUCAUUUGAUGGAUGAGAUCCUUCACCAGAAGUAAUACCUGAUCACUCAACUGAACCCUGACCACUUGUAUCUGCCCCAGGUCAGAGAUUUCAUUUCAGAUGUCCCAACACAGUUGUCUUAGUUCAUGCUGUCAAAAUGGAAAUCAACUUGGUAUUACCUUUUGGUUUUGUUUAAAUAGAGGGGAGAGGAUUUUUAGUUAUCUUUUUGAUAGUAAAGUUUAAGCCAGGGAAAAUACAUUGGAUACUUUGUUGUUACUUCUGAGAGAAAUGUGUAUUGGCUUGAUGUCAAAAUGAGAUUCUCAUUUUUAUUGGGUUCUUCUUUUAGUUUGGUUUCCUGACUAUGUUUUACUAGUAAUACAAAAUCAAGUGUUGUUUUUAUUUUCAGCUGAACCAGUGUUUUACCUCAAGUACAAAUCACUGACACUAGGAAACUUUUUGGAAGACUUUGUUAGAUCUUUCUGAUGAGUAUCAGAAGCCUCGAGACUGGAAAACAAUAUUAAGAAAAAGAGAAAUUGCUAUUAGGAUUUAAAAUAUUUGCAAUCUCAUGAAAACUAAGCAAAGAAGAUAAUUUUGUUCACUUUCUAGCAGGCUUUUUAUACACUAGAACAAAAAUAAAUACAGGCUAACACUUAAACUCACAGCUGAGCUGCUGCAGGAUUUCAGUACAAUCUUGAAACACUUCAGUGUAGCAGAAGCAAAAAUAUUCUGAGCCUUUGAAAGCUGGGGCCGUUCCCUCAGAUGAGGUGACAGUAAUAAACCCACGUCUGGCUUGCAACCCUGCCUCAAAUAAUGAGCAAAAUCAAGCAAUAGGUCCCCUAAAUGUUUUCCAGAACUAACCCAGGGAGAUAUGUUGUAAAUCUGUAGCAAAUGUAAAAAAAAAAAUUUACUGUUUUAUUACUAAUGACAGUUUAUAAAAUGGCAUGGUAUUGUUAUAAUAGUACAGCAUAAUAGUUUAUGGUUGAAAGAUUGAAAGCAAUACCUUUUCCCUUCAUUUUGACAGUAUCACCUAAUUCCAUUAGAAGCAGAUCUAUGGGGUUAUUUUUAUUUGCUGAUAACUGCAAAAUCAGCUUUUUUUUGUUGACAGGCCUUUUUGAACUCCAUAAUUAGAAUAAAAUGCUGAUGAAUUAAUUUUAAAUAUGUGCACAGUUAAAUUCACAUUCAGUUAUUUUUCUGGGAGAAAUUUCAUUUACAUAUUCAGAUAGUUACUACCAAAAAUUUAGAUUUUUAAGAAUGUCUAAAGUAUGUAAAUAUAUAAUGUCCUCAUAAUUUCACAGGUUAUCUCAAAGACAGUCAAACUGAAAAAAUGGGGGCUACAUCACCUUCAAAAACUGUAGUGUUCCAUCAGAACUAGCUUGAUGAAAGUUUUGCUUUUUGUCAUAUGUUCAAGAAAGCUGUACUGCUCACAGGAAACAAUUCCAUGCAGAAAACUGAAAAUCUUAUGAAGUUUUCCUUCAGUUUGAGUUAGGUCUGUAAACACUGAAGAUUGACAAAUAGUUGAAUGCCAUGGCUUCUUAAGCAUCCAUAAUUUUCUGUGUAACAAGGAGCAAUGAAAGCAAUAGCCGAUGAUUUUGUUUAAGAAAACUCAGCUUGACUGCCAUAUCGUUCUUGGCUCAGUAGCAUUUUCCACAACUGUUGUGGUUUAGAAAUAGUUUUCCCCAAUUUAGUACUCCCACUAAAAAGACCAUGAACCGCUCCUCUCCUUUCCUGAAUGAUAAAGAUCACAGGUUAAGAUAAGAAUAAUUCUGUGGAAAAAAGAAUGAUUUAAUGUCUUAGGCUACAGUGUAAGGUGUAUGCAAAGUAUGUAUUCUUACAUACUUUACAUACACCUAAAGUAUGUAUUCUAUCACCCUCUUCAUAAGCUGUUAAAACUAGGUGUGGCAGUGUUCUUUAUCUCUUCCCCAGCCAUCCUCCCUCCAGAGGGAUAUCUUCUGUUAAUGG